Molecule: ribosomal RNA, 301 nt
Filed under: uncultured bacterium
Lineage: Bacteria
Description: partial 16S ribosomal RNA
Rfam family: Bacterial small subunit ribosomal RNA
Source: RNAcentral
CAGCCGCCACGGGAAUACGGAGGGGGCUAGCGUUGUUCGGAAUUACUGGGCGUAAAGCGCACGUAGGCGGCUUGGUAAGUUAGAGGUGAAAGCCCGGAGCUCAACUCCGGAAUUGCCUUUAAGACUGCCGAGCUAGUAGGUGAGAGAGGUAAGCGGAAUUCCGAGUGUAGAGGUGAAAUUCGUAGAUAUUCGGAAGAACACCAGUGGCGAAGGCGGCUUACUGGCUCAUUCUAGACGCUGAGGUGCGAAAGCGUGGGGAGCAAACAGGAUUAGAUACCCGGGUAGUCCCUGUCUCUUAUAC